CCCAUUCUUAUUUGUCAUUUUCA
RNAcentral lists this small nuclear RNA (23 nucleotides) under Arabidopsis thaliana (thale cress). RNAcentral describes it as "snRNA_08167". Lineage: Eukaryota; Viridiplantae; Streptophyta; Magnoliopsida; Brassicales; Brassicaceae. The record is from RNAcentral.